Molecule: ribosomal RNA, 491 nt
Filed under: uncultured Alphaproteobacteria bacterium
Lineage: Bacteria; Pseudomonadati; Pseudomonadota; Alphaproteobacteria
Description: bacterial SSU rRNA
Rfam family: Bacterial small subunit ribosomal RNA
Source: RNAcentral
GGCAGGCUUAACACAUGCAAGUCGAGCGCCCACUUCGGUGGGAGCGGCAGACGGGUGAGUAACGCGUGGGAAUCUACCCAAUUCUACGGAACAACUCAGGGAAACUUGAGCUAAUACCGUAUACGCCCCCUUAUAGAGAUAUUUGGGGGGAAAGAUUUAUCGGAGUUGGAUGAGCCCGCGUUUGAUUAGCUAGUUGGUGGGGUAAUGGCCUACCAAGGCGACGAUCAAUAGCUGGUCUGAGAGGAUGAUCAGCCACACUGGGACUGAGACACGGCCCAGACUCCUACGGGAGGCAGCAGUGGGGAAUAUUGGACAAUGGGCGCAAGCCUGAUCCAGCCAUGCCGCGUGAGUGAAGAAGGCCCUAGGGUUGUAAAGCUCUUUCAACGGUGAAGAUAAUGACGGUAACCGUAGAAGAAGCCCCGGCUAACUUCGUGCCAGCAGCCGCGGUAAUACGAAGGGGGCUAGCGUUGUUCGGAUUUACUGGGCGUAAA